AGCAGCCGCGGUAAUUCCAGCUCCAAUAGCGUAUAUUAAAGUUGUUGCAGUUAAAAAGCUCGUAGUUGAAUUUCGGGACCAUCAUGUCGGUCGUGCCUCGGUACGUACUGGCAUUGUUGGUUUCUCCCUUCUGACGAACCAUGAUGUCAUUUAUUUGGUGUUGUGGGGAAUCAGGACUGUUACUUUGAAAAAUUAGAGUGUUUAAAGCAGGCUCACGCUUGAAUACAUUAGCAUGGAAUAAUGAAAUAGGACGUUUGAUUCUAUUUUGUUGGUUUCUAGGAUCGACGUAAUGAUUAAUAGGGAUAGUUGGGGGCAUUAGUAUUCAAUUGUCAGAGGUGAAAUUCUUGGAUUUAUUGAAGACUAACUACUGCGAAAGCAUUUGCCAAGGAUGUUUUCAUUAAUCAAGAACGAAAGUUAGGGGAUCGAAGACGAUCAGAUACCGUCGUAGUCUUAACCAUAAACUAUGCCGACUAGGGAUCGGAUGAUGUUAAUUUUUAAUGACUCAUUCGGCGCCUUAAC
RNAcentral lists this ribosomal RNA (519 nucleotides) under uncultured Glomus. RNAcentral's name for it is "SSU rRNA". It matches the Rfam family "Eukaryotic small subunit ribosomal RNA", at positions 569 to 1092 of the family's 1831-position model. The record is from RNAcentral. Lineage: Eukaryota; Fungi; Glomeromycota; Glomeromycetes; Glomerales; Glomeraceae.